Molecule: long non-coding RNA, 251 nt
Organism: Acanthochromis polyacanthus (spiny chromis)
Lineage: Eukaryota; Metazoa; Chordata; Actinopteri; Pomacentridae
Exons: 3
Source: RefSeq, a predicted model, not a curated record
CAGGACCAUGAUGCCUGCAGCAGGAAGUGAAGGAACGAGAUCAGUGAUGGAGAAGAUGAGCUCUGAAACCAGCGACUCCAGCGACUGCUACAGGAGCAGCAGGAAGUCCUUCAGGACCUUCAGCAGGAGAAACUGAAGGAGGCUGAAGUGAGGCGACAAACAGACGGACCAGAUGAAGCUUCUGAAGGAGAAACUGAAGGAGAGCCGUCGAGAGAACGAGGUCUCAGAGCAGAAGGUCAAGAGCCCUGGAG